Oreochromis niloticus (Nile tilapia) is the source of this 334-nucleotide long non-coding RNA. RefSeq lists it as uncharacterized. Lineage: Eukaryota; Metazoa; Chordata; Actinopteri; Cichliformes; Cichlidae. The transcript is spliced from 3 exons. The record is from RefSeq and is a predicted model, not a curated record.
AACCGUGCCAGACGUCCUUGAGUCUGACCCUGUUAAGGAACCUUGCCUUUGGGCAUCCCAUGGCUCAGUGCUCAUUACUGCCAUAGUCACACGCAUGCACGUACACCUUUUCGAGCUCAACCACAUGCCAAGUGAUCGACUCUGGAGCCAACACCCACCUCCAAUUACAGGAUGUGAGAUGACACUCAGCUGCCCACUCCCUGCCCCCUCCAUAUAUUUCUGCCGCCUCAGUGAAAAGGACAAAAGACUCCUUCAUGGAACGCACCUCCUCCACCUCUUUAUCUUCACCGCCGCCAGCGCCUAGACUCUGGGGGGGGUCCUGCCCUAAAUCCUA